UCCAGACUCCUACGGGAGGCAGCAGUGGGGGAUAUUGCACAAUGGGGGGAACCCUGAUGCAGCGACGCCGCGUGGGUGAAGGAGUGCUUCGGCAUGUAAAGCCCUAUCGGCAGGGAAGAAGCAGGACGGUACCUGACUAAGAAGCCCCGGCUAACUACGUGCCAGCAGCCGCGGUAAUACGUAGGGGGCGAGCGUUAUCCGGAUUCACCGGGUGUAAAGGGAGCGUAGACGGCCAUGCAAGCCAGGGGUGAAAGCCCGGGGCCCAACCCCGGGACUGCCCUUGGAACUGCCAGGCUGGAGUGCCGGAGAGGCAGGCGGAAUUCCUAGUGUAGCGGUGAAAUGCGUAGAUAUUAGGAGGAACACCAGUGGCGAAGGCGGCCUGCUGGACGGUGACUGACGCUGAGGCUCGAAAGCGUGGGGAGCAAACAGGAUUAGAUACCCCUGUAGCC
Molecule: ribosomal RNA, 449 nt
Filed under: uncultured bacterium
Lineage: Bacteria
Description: bacterial SSU rRNA
Rfam family: Bacterial small subunit ribosomal RNA
Source: RNAcentral